This 1942-nucleotide long non-coding RNA is filed under the name Canis lupus familiaris (dog). RNAcentral's name for it is "lncRNA (ENSCAFG00000055084.1)". Lineage: Eukaryota; Metazoa; Chordata; Mammalia; Carnivora; Canidae. The record is from RNAcentral.
UUAUUGGUUUUUUUUUUUCUUUUUUUUAAAUAAAGUAAUAAAGGAACGAGAGAGUGGGUUAGUGCAGGCAAGGCCUUCCUGGGGAGCUGGCAUUUGACCAGAAGCCUGGAUAAAUGAGGGAGCCAGCGAUGCAAUGAUUGGGGAAUAGUGUAGAUGCAUAAAGUUUCCAAGGAGACUUAGCAAUUUAGGUGGAGCAAGAAGGCCACGGUAUUCGAGUAGAGUGAACAACAGGAAUUAUGGGAAGUAAGGUUGAAGAUGUAGGCAGGUAUUGUAGGGCAUGGUAUGAAGUUCAGGUUUUCGUUUGAGCAUGACGGCACUUUGAAAGGAUUUUUAACUGGUUUACCUUAAAAAACAAAAAAACAAAAACAAACAAAAAACAAAACAAAACCCUCACUACCUGCUUCAUAGAAAAUCAGUGGUAUGGGGCAAAAAUGGAAGUAGGGAGACCCGAAAGGGGACUACUGCAGUAGACAAGGCUAAGAGUUGGCUUUGGCUUGUACCAAUGGUGGUGAUGAAGCUGGUAGGAGGAGGUCGGAUUCUGGAGAUAUUUUGGAGAUGGAGCAGAUAGGACUUGUUAGUUUAUUAGAAGUUGAGUGUGAUAAAAAGGGAAGAAUCAAGAAUCGCUCCUAAGUUUUUGGCCUGAUAUAUUGGGUAAAUGGAAUUGCCCUCUACUGAGAUGAAACCCUUAUUAUUAUUAUUAUUUUUUUUAGAGAUGAGACCCUUAAAAGUGGAGCAGUUUGGGUGGGUAAUCAAGAGUUUGCUUUUACAGCUGUUAAGUUGGUCUAGACCUCCAGGUGGACACGAGGGGUAUUCAGUUGGAUAAAGGAGUCUGGAAUCAAAGAAGGAUGUAGGCUAGAUAAAGACCUUUGGAAGUCAUUGGCAUACAGAUGGCAUUAAAGCAAAUCAUCUAGAUCCCAUAUAGGAAUAGAAAUCAGGGUGAGGGGAAGGAUCCAGCAAAUAGCUGAGAAUGAUCAUUAGUAAGGAAGUAGGAAAAUCAGAAGUAGGAUGUCUUGGAGGGCAAGUGAAAAGAGCGGUCAAGGUCACUGCUUGACAAGGAGUCUCAGGGCAGCAACGAUGGUUGGACGGGACAUCAGAAGGAAUGAGAGAACGAGGAAGUAGAGACAACAUGUACUACCUCUUUGAGCAAUUUUCCUAUGUAGGGAAGUGCUUGGCUGGAGGAAGGAUGUGGGGUCAAGGAAAGGGGCUUAAAAUUUUUAUUUUUUAUUUAUUUUUUUAAAGAUUAUUUAUUUAUUCAUGAUAGACAGAGAGAGAGAGAGAGAGAGAGAGAGAGGCAGAGACACAGGCAGAGGAAGAAGCAGGCUCCAUGCAAGGAGCCCGAUGCGGCAUUCGAUUCUGGGACUCCAGGAUCACACCCUGGGCCAAAGGCAGGCACUAAACUGCUGAGCCACCCAGGGAUCCCCGGGGUUUAAAUUUUUUUUUUUUUUUAAGCUUUUUAACAAUGGGAGACAUUUUGAAAUGGAAAGAAUCCAACAGGCCUUGGCUAUGAUGAGGGAGGAGACAAGAGGGGUAGUACUACUGUCUGGGAGCUAAAUGGGACCUUUACUUGAUAACUGAUACCUUAUAACUUGCUACUGUUGCAGGACAAUAGGGACCCCUGGGCUGUGCAAUAGGGACCCCUGAUAGUGAAAGGAUAUGAGUCCACCCUAGGAGCUUGGCUUCAUAGGUGUCCAUAAGAGAGCAGGAGAGAAAGUUCUGCAAGGUGGUCCCUGCCAGGUAAGUACUGUUACGUACUCUUCAAAGAUACUGGAAAGAGGGAUCCCUGAGUGGCGCAGUGGUUUGGCGCCUGCCUUUGGCCCAGGGUGCGAUCCUGGAGACCCAGGAUCGAGUCCCACAUCAGGCUCCCGGUGCAUGGAGCCUGCUUCUCCCUCUGCCUCUCUCUCUCUCUCUCUCUGUAUGACUAUCAUUAAAAAAAAAAAAAAAA